UGGGGAAUCUUGCACAAUGGGCGAAAGCCUGAUGCAGCGAUUCCGCGUGGAGGAUGACGCAUUACGGUGUGUAAACUCCUUUUCUGGUGGAAGACGAAUGACGGUACACCAGGAAUAAGGGACGGCUAACUACGUGCCAGCAGCCGCGGUAAUACGUAGGUCCCAAGCGUUAUCCGGAUUUACUGGGCGUAAAGAGUUCGUAGCUUGAUGAAUAAGUCUGUUUUCAAAUACCUCGACUCAAUCGAGGAAAGGGGAUAGAUACUGUUUAUCUAGAGAUAUUUGGGGGUGAGUGGAAUUUCGGGUGGAGCGGUGAAAUGCGUUGAUAUCCGAAAGAACGCCGAAAGCGAAAGCAGCUAACUACAAUACAUCUGACGGUGAGGAACGAAAGCUUGGGGAGCAAACG
Molecule: ribosomal RNA, 403 nt
Filed under: uncultured prokaryote
Description: bacterial SSU rRNA
Rfam family: Bacterial small subunit ribosomal RNA
Source: RNAcentral